GCAACUGGAUCGCACCCCUCAGCUGCAACAUUACGAAGAUUUUUCUGCCUUACCUUUUUAAAUCAGGGGCGCAGGAGUUCGCAGGUGUCUCCGGAUCCAAAUCUGGGGCUCUCAGUGUCACUUCGAACCCCAGAAAAUACUCAAGGAAGGCAGCAAAUUUCUAGCAGAAAAUCCAGGGUUGCUCUCGGCCUGAGAAGAGGGCUGCAGCUCCUCACUGCGUCAAGCAGGAAACUCAAAGAUCCAUUAAACAGAAGGAGUCAAGCUGCAAGCAGGACAAGAGCUCAUGGCUGGAGCUGCUCUUCCAGAUAAUUCUUGUCUGACCAAGUCUGGAGAAGAGCAAUAUUCACUUAGAGGGGCCUGUGAUAUUAAACAAAUGCAACUGUCUCCAAAGAAUUUUUACCAAUAGAAAUUGUGUUAUGAAGCAGUUGCUUGUCCACAGGGUGCAUGCCUUUGUGUACAGUCAAGCAACAGGUGGAGUUUAACAGGCAAGAAGCUUGUACAACAACUGCCAUGGCUAACGAUGAAGUACUGUAACCUACAGUAAAUUUAUGAUUGACAGCCAGUCUGAGCAGCCGGCACCUGCACAGGAAACACAUGUAGGCUCAAUAAAGAAACAGGAGGAUGAUCGCCUGUUAGAUGCACUCUUCCUACAUAAAGUGACCCCACCAAGAUACCUAAACAAUUUAGUUUAAGAAACAAUCCAAGAACACUAGUUUAUUACAAAACGAAACGGUACAGGCGUAACCCGGCGGCUAUUAUCCAGACGCUCCGGCGGUCCGCAAUCUGGAGCCCCGGGAAGGAAACGCUCCAGUCAGGACAGCCGGCCGAAGAGACGGUGGGCACCUGGGACCGCGAGGUGAGUCCGGUUGCUCUGUGGGAGCAACUGCUGCUGCUUGAACAGGGGAGAAAAAGCGUUUUUAAUAUAUAGUCGCAAGUUCUGGUCUCUCGCAUGAACCUAUACAAAAAGGUAGCACCACAUUUGAAAGGCAAAAAUAAGGUUUAUUCGCCGGGAGGUGUUCAACGGAGCAAAACCGUGUUUUACCCGUACUGACCAUUUCCCCGUGGAAUUUCCCCCACCCUCAGAUUAAGUGAGCGCAGCUGUGGGCUUCUUCACAAUCUACUGCUUUGCUAUACUGAGAAAAGUCAGUUAGUAUCUGGGAUUUCUCCGACUAAAACAUAAAGCUUUCUUUAAACCCGAAAGCAAGAGGCUCUCUAAGUAGAGUGGAGACCGGUUGGAUUCUCACCUUCGAACUGACCGCUCAUCUGUCCAGUUUCACACCACACGGGAGCUCUGCGCUUCGGCGUCCAGGCUGUUGUAGAGGACAGGAAGGCCGGGGAGCUGGAGAGGAGGAACAAGGGAAUAAGACACCUGCUGGAACGCCACUAACAGACCUGAGCAAGCACUAAAGAUACAGGUAGCCAUUUUAAAUAGCAGCAACAUUGAUCCGUUCCAUUUCGCCUGUUACAAAAAAAAAAAAGAAAGUUACUGGUUUAGUUUGAAUUCAACUUUUCUUUACAAGACAGAAGGCCUUUUCUAAAAUACAGUUACUGGCCGUCUUCUUAACUAUUCUGAAGCUCUGAUGCCUUUUCUCGUUUCGAACUGUUCCUAUCUAAAUAGGUAGAAACCGUGUCCGAUAUUCUGUUUCCCAAAUGAAGUGAAACAUCCCGGGAAUAUUUUCCCUCUUGCUGCAAAGCCGGUAUUUAAGGACAAAGACGCAAUACUGCUGCCAGAGGAAUUUUUAAAGGAGACUAAUUGAAGGCGGAUAAAGAUUAAUCACACCUGCCUCUGGACUGUUAAUUAAUCAGAAAUGUGUAAAACAUGGACUUGAUCCUGGAGUUGGCAUGGAUCCCUCAGUCUUUCCGACACAAGUAACUGGAGUCAAUCCCAUUCCAUACUUUUAACUACACCGCUGAUGAAAUAACCUUAUUGAAACUUUAAUUGAGGAUUUACGAUUUGUUUGCAGUUUAAUUCAAAAUACAAUAUUCAUCCCCAUCUAUCAUCAAUAGUAAAAGUUAGAAGUUAGCGACACCCUUGCGC
Long non-coding RNA from Lepisosteus oculatus (spotted gar), 2038 nucleotides. The record is from Ensembl. NCBI's taxonomy places the organism in Eukaryota, Metazoa, Chordata, Actinopteri, Semionotiformes, Lepisosteidae.